This 373-nucleotide ribosomal RNA is filed under the name Xenorhabdus griffiniae. RNAcentral's name for it is "bacterial SSU rRNA". It matches the Rfam family "Bacterial small subunit ribosomal RNA", at positions 1 to 366 of the family's 1533-position model. Lineage: Bacteria; Pseudomonadati; Pseudomonadota; Gammaproteobacteria; Enterobacterales; Morganellaceae. The record is from RNAcentral.
ACUUUAAUUGAAGAGUUUGAUCAUGGCUCAGAUUGAACGCUGGCGGCAGGCCUAACACAUGCAAGUCGGGCGGCAGCGGGAAGAAGCUUGCUUCUUUGCCGGCGAGCGGCGGACGGGUGAGUAAUGUCUGGGGAUCUGCCCGAUGGAGGGGGAUAACCACUGGAAACGGUGGCUAAUACCGCAUAACCUCGAGAGAGCAAAGUGGGGGACCUUCGGGCCUCACACCAUCGGAUGAACCCAGAUGGGAUUAGCUAGUAGGUGGGGUAAUGGCUCACCUAGGCGACGAUCCCUAGCUGGUCUGAGAGGAUGACCAGCCACACUGGGACUGAGACACGGCCCAGACUCCUACGGGAGGCAGCAGUGGGGAAUAUUG